GUUUGAUCCUGGCUCAGGAUGAACGCUGGCGGCGUGCUUAACACAUGCAAGUCGAACGGGAAUUACUUUAUUGAAACUUCGGUCGAUUUAAUUUAAUUCUAGUGGCGGACGGGUGAGUAACGCGUGGGUAACCUGCCUUAUACAGGGGGAUAACAGUCAGAAAUGGCUGCUAAUACCGCAUAAGCGCACAGAGCUGCAUGGCUCAGUGUGAAAAACUCCGGUGGUAUAAGAUGGACCCGCGUUGGAUUAGCUAGUUGGUGGGGUAACGGCCCACCAAGGCGACGAUCCAUAGCCGGCCUGAGAGGGUGAACGGCCACAUUGGGACUGAGACACGGCCCAGACUCCUACGGGAGGCAGCAGUGGGGAAUAUUGCACAAUGGGGGAAACCCUGAUGCAGCGACGCCGCGUGAAGGAAGAAGUAUCUCGGUAUGUAAACUUCUAUCAGCAGGGAAGAUAGUGACGGUACCUGACUAAGAAGCCCCGGCUAACUACGUGCCAGCAGCCGCGGUAAUACGUAGGGGGCAAGCGUUAUCCGGAUUUACUGGGUGUAAAGGGAGCGUAGACGGUGUGGCAAGUCUGAUGUGAAAGGCAUGGGCUCAACCUGUGGACUGCAUUGGAAACU
RNAcentral lists this ribosomal RNA (622 nucleotides) under uncultured bacterium. RNAcentral describes it as "bacterial SSU rRNA". It matches the Rfam family "Bacterial small subunit ribosomal RNA", at positions 11 to 634 of the family's 1533-position model. The record is from RNAcentral.